CCACCCCUUUUAGGCGAUCCUUUGCCAGGAGGGUACGUGCCACUCUCGCCAUCUCUCCACUCCCAGUGCGCGAUUGUCUUUUCAUGUAUGGAAUAGCCGGGUUCAAGCUUACCCUGUCCCAUAUCCAGGGCAUGUGGCUAGUUAAGAUAGUCCUUGAUCAUACAGGCCUACAUACGCAUCCAAUCUUUAAUUAACCUGGGUAGAACAUCACCUGUUCCAAGCCCAAGUCCCGAUUUAAGUACUUCCAUCCUUAGGAUUGUUUGUGUUCCUUAGGAUGAAAAGAGCACAUUAUAGGGAACUUUGCAGUAAGAUCCCACCAUGCUCCCAAUGAAAAUAUUCUUGCAGGUAGAAGCCAUCCUUCCUCAGGAUAACCCCUGAGCUACGCAUUAAUGCAAAAGACAACCUCUAUCCACAAGAUCUAAGCAGGGCUAAGCAUUUUAGUAAAUCAUAUUUUGAUACUUCACCAGAAGUAUCUAUAAAGGUAUGGAUAUCAAGGAAGGCAAUGCAUCAAAGGGUUUCAAGCAACUCCUAUAAACCUAAUGCACAUUUCACUAGACUUAAAGUGUGCAAAAAUUAUUUAAAAACACAAGGAAGGGGUUGCAUGUACCGGGGCUUGCCUGGGUAACACUAGGUUGGUGUUGUUAGGUGACGUCCACUUGACGACCAUCCUUUGUCCUGGCACACACUCGUUCAGAUUAUCCAUCUUCCGGUUCGUCCAUCAACAUCAUCUUGCGGAUUAGCCCGCGCUUGGGGUCGACUUGGGUUAUCUUCCACAUUACGCAGUCAAUAAACGUACCUAAAUGAUUUGCAUAAUGCACAUGAAUGCAUAGCACUGACUUCACUGUACAACUAAAAUUCUUCGCAUAAAAUGCCGAUAGCGCCUACCGGCAAGGCACUAAAAUUACUAAGCAAAUAAAUUCAACUUACCAGCAUCAAACGUGACUCACUACUCGCGAGAAUGCCGAUAAAUCCUGGCUCGAGCUUGUCAUUGAACACCAUACAGGGUAAGUCUGAUGCAGCGCUGCGUGGUGGAGAUCGACAGGCGGGUGUCGACGAGUGCAUGGAGUCUUAUAGAACCAUGAUGCUGAAGAUGGCGUGGUAACGAGUGAACACGUGGUCGAGUGUCGACAAGGUAAAACGGGUUCAAUGGCUCGACGACAAACGAGAGCACACAUGAAGCCCGAUGGACGAAGAGCGAGCGUGACGUAGUAACAACGAGCAGGCGCGCGAGUGUUAACGUGAGCCAGUGGCAAGCACGAAUGCUGAGGUACAACCAACAACAUUCAGCGAGCACGCAGCGAAGCACAAAAUAGCGAGGACAGUCGAAUCGGCAACAGAGCGUUGGCGAACUCGACGAACACGACCACGGUCGCGUGCGGGCGCGGAUAGGAUAACGACAGCUAACGAGUUAGAGCACCAGCGAGUAGCCGACGCGGGUGAGCAAAGCAGGCAGGACACCGGGCGUCGCGGCGAGCUAGAAAAAGAUUCGGCGCGCGAGCUCGACGCGCACGGAUUUUUGUUUCGUUGCUCGACGCACGACGUGUGGACAGACGGUAAGCAGGGACACGCGGCAAAAUCUCGGGCGGGACGCAAGGGACUUCGCGAUGGGCAGCGAGGCUCGUAAGGAAGACAGGGAAGGCGCGGGCCAGGAGCACCAGGGACGACCAGGCGGCACACGCACAUCCAGCUCCACAGAACUCAGUGCCAUGGGGAAGAUGGAGCAGAGGGGUGCUGGCCUACUGCAGGAAAGGGAGGGCUCCAUCUAUGGAAGAAGCUGGAGCCGAGCAGGAAAGGCGAGGCACUGCGAGCUGCAGCUGGGCACGACGAGCAGCACAGCAAGGGAAAGGGGCGAGCUUCCGCAGGGAAGCCGCGCGCCGGAAGCUCCACGGCUGGGCAUGGCGGCCAUGGGCAGGGAACUCGUGGAAGAGGGAGCAGCGGCGUGCAGAAGCUCGGCGUGCAGGGGGAUCCGAGCUGAAGCUGAGCACGCGCCAUGGGGAACUCGUCGGCAGGGCAGAGAGAGCUGGAGGCAUGGCUUGCUGGGAGAUGGAGAGAAGGAAACGAGCUCGGCUGGCUAGGGUUGGGGCUCGGCAGGGGAGCCGCCAUGGGAGCAGGCAAAGGGCGAGCAGGACGCGCCACAGGAGAGCUGGAAGGAGCAGAGACGCCCGCGGAAGAUGACCAGGCAGGAUAUUUGAAGAGUCCUAGGGGCGGCGCCGUGAGGAGAUAAACACCGGCAACCAGGAUUUUUGCAAGCCAAAGCGGCGCAGAGGAUAACACCGGCGAGCUGGAGGGAGAAGAACUGUUGCCGGCGUGCGGCAGAGGAAGAUGCUGAGCGCUGAAAUAUCCAGGGAGUAGAGCGGCGGCUGCAAAAAUCCAACAGAGAGAGAGCGGAUCAGGCUGAGGGAGAAGUUCGGCUGGGUAAUAAGAAACUGUGUUCAGCGGCAGGAUUUUUCAGAAAACGGCGGCAGGAGAGAACGACCAUGAACAAAAAUCUACGGGAGGCAGACGAGCGAAGAAAUAUCAGGGAGAGAAGAGAUUGACGUGAGCAGAUUUUUGUUUUUUUAAUUUUCCCUUCCCAUUCUUUUUAAUAAUGAAAAUGGUAGACAUUUCGGAAUGAGAAUUUUCAAUGAUCACUAAAGGGUCGAUAGUACGGGUAACACGGUUUUGAUUUAGCGAAUACUUGGAAUCAGAUGAAUUUGUACCCGGCAUUUAUAUCCAAAGUUUUGGAUCGGGCAAGAAACGACAGACCGAAAUAAACUGAUUUCGGCACUGAUAAUUUGUUUGACGUGAUUCGACCGAAAUUAGCCGAAACAAUGUCUGCGAACGUAUACACGAUUUUAUCUUCGAAACAGCAUGCUGAAAAAUAAAUUGGAUCUUAACCUCGCGCAAGACUUCGCGCGAUCCAGAUUAUUCUGCCCCGAACAUUUUAGUCGUCGAGUUCAAAUUAAUUUGUUCAGGAUAAAAAUCGUCCAAGUGGUUCGGGCUUUCGAAUUCGUAUUCGCGCGAGCGAUGAAUUUUAAAUAAUCACCGGACGCACCGAUUUUCGGAACAACUCUGUUCUGAACAUCACGAAAAUUUUAGGAGAGCCCGGACAGAUAAAAAUGAAAACGACGUCGCACUCGCGACAGACGAAACAGAUGCGAUAUUAAAAUCGCGAUAGGCAAAAAUAAUUAGACCUUAGUGUCCGUCUUAUUUACUGAUAUCACGUGCUUAAAUCCGUACUCGUUGUCGAGCAGAAUAUAAACACCUGGGGUGUUACAGCCCUCCCCCUUAAAAGAAUCUCGUCCCGAGAUUCAGCGAAAGACUUUUAAGGGUAGAGAAGCAUGUACCCCAUAUCCAUAUCAGCGAUAAGCAUAAGACAGUCCUGAACGAAGACGAGUGUCUCAGAAUGUUGUUUCUCUAGUGGACAUAACAUGUAUUGACAUAAGCCAAUUUAGAAAUGUCCAUUAGUAGAGACAGUAUCUACCAGAAGAACACAUAGGGUUCCAGGUGUGCAGUUCGCUUUUUCUGAUGAUAUUGUACUAUCUGAGUCUGUUGAGCAAGCGGUGGAUAUGCGACUUUACCUAAACAGAAUCAGAUGCAACCUCUUGAGUGAAACACACAAAAAGAGGUUUACCAACAAGUGGUCACGGUAAGCUCGUAGCACACAAGACGAGUGUGGAUGUUGAAUACUGUCGCGGUUAACAUGUGGCUAACCUGAGAAUUCAAGUCCACGAAAGAGGGUAUAGAUUCAAGAGAAUCACCAGCGGAGGGGUUUGUAGAUACGGACUUUACCGUCAGUCCAUUUUAUCCAGCACUAGGCAUGGCUCGACAUGAUCACACAUGCAGGAAAAGCACACGUGAGGCGGUCGAGGCAUGACUAGAGCGAUGAUUAGGUGGUUAUUAGUCGAUUUAACUUGAUUUUUGUAAGAACUUUCUUAGGAUGGGUUGAACCAAAGUGGGUUUAGACAACUCGAUAAAUCGAUCCCUAAACUCAACCUUUGAUCACAAUACAGUUACAAGUUAAUAAAACCAACUCGUUGAACUACUUUUGACAUUGAGCAAGUACUCUCAGUACCAUCGGUAAGCCAACGGUCGAGAGUUUACAUUUGCUAAAAAGAGGUCAUGCAUUUGGGUAGAAAUCCAUUUGGCCAUGGGGUUCAUCUGUUUCUUCAUGCGAGAUGAAUUAUCCACUUGGUCAGGGAAUACAUGGAUUAAAUAAAAGAGCGAAUGAACAAACUCCUGCAUCUCAGCAGCAGGGAAAGCCAAUCUCCAUUUUGAGAGCUAAUCAGUUGUCUUCUAACACUAAAAAGCUUCAAGGAUUCGCCUUUACACAAAGGAUGCAAAGGGAACUUGGAUGUGUAGUCACUACCAAGAUCAAAAGAAAAGAGACCACACCUGAAAGUGGUAUGCCCUUUUGAUCCAACAAAGAUGAUAGAUGUUGCUUGAUUAUUUCGAUAAACAACACAAAAAUCGUUUCAAGGAAGGGAUCUACGGAAGAUAACAUAUUAGGGUAGUUCCAUAAUGGAUCAUGACCAGAGACCUUGAUACCAGCAUCCGAUGAGUAGCAUAAUCCUAUGUGCACAUUCACAGGAGGCUCUCAGUUUCGCUGCGGCACCAUAAGUCAUUAAUCAUGACACCAUUACUGAACUGGUACCAACAUAGAAUCCCACGUAGCAAAAACAGAUUGUGCCAAGAUAACCCAUUGAUAUAGUCUCAUAAUGGAUCACAACUACUAACUGUGAUACCAGCGCGUGCCGAGCAGCACAACCGUGUGUCGAUCGUCCAUAGGAGGCCCUCGGUUUCGUCACGGCACCAUCGAUUUUAGUCACAACACCAUUACCAGACGUAACCAAUAAGAAAUCUCACGCCACACCAAUAGGUUGAGCAAGGAUGACAAUAUACACAAUAGACUCCACUUGUAAUAAUGGUUACAAGUAGAGAACCAAAUAGAUCAUGACCCGAUGAAACGAACAAGGCAUGGCCAUAACCUAAACUUGAUGAAAGGAGUAUGAUGGGAGACUGUUAAUUCAGACCCAAGCAUAUUUCUAUGCCCAUCAUAGAGAUUACAAGAUCAAGGAUUAGUAUCAGAUUAGAUACAGAGGGAAAACAAUCAAAAGAUUUAAUUGGUAUGCCUUCGAUAGAUGUGGGGAAACCAAAGGCAUCAAAUUCAAGAAAAUGAGUGGACAUGUCUUUCCUAGGUUAGGUUGAUAAAACAACAUGAUGAUUCUUAAGAACAGGCAAACUAGAUCAGGGACAUCAGCUUGUGCCAAUCGAACAAGGGCAUGGUCUAAGAUGGAAAUAUGACUCAAGAUUCUUAUUUUAAGCCUGAGUACACUUUAGGUUCAGCAAAGAAAUUAUCUAAGCCUUUAUUUGUAUAAGUUUGGGUCAAGGAGGGGUAACGGAAAAAUCAACUUUGGUCAUGGUUCACCAACUAAGAACAUGGCCAAGAUUUGGGUUUAGGCAAACAAGUCACUAACCUUCUAUCGACGCAUUAAGCACAAGAGCACAUAUAUAGCAUCUAAACAUAAUACCUAAGGAACGGAGAACAACUAUUUUAUCGAUGUUCAUAAUUCAACAUUACACCAGAUUAUCUACAAUCACUGUUUUCUAGAAUAAGGAUGAGAGAAGCAUUUGGAUGUAUAUGUGACAAACAUGAUGCAACAAUCAGGAUGCAUGCUCGUCCUACACGUCCUCACUGAUUUUUGCCAACAUAAUGUGGCAAUAACAUUCUAUACCGGUGGCAUACUUACGAUUCUCACGGUAUUUUAGCUACACAUACGUUUUCGAGGUUAGUGUACCUGCAGAAAAAUCCAUCACAACCCAAUUUCCCAAUGAUGCAAUUCACACAUGACAGUUUAUCACAGUUUAUACUCAAUAUAUUUCUAUAUGGAGGCCAGCUCUUCAUUAAGCGCUGAGCCACGCAUAGGCGCCGUUGCCACACUUUAACCAUAGGGCAACUCAUUAUGGUAACUCACCUUCUUACCUGAGCGUAGAUGCGUCGUUACAAGUACAUUAUACUUCUCAGUAUUCCCAUGUCUGUGUACCCAUACACAUCCAUGGGGUACUGAAUUCCCAAAAAAAUAAAUACUCCAUAUCGCAGCUUUCAUAUAUACAUAUGUGGAACAUGUAUAUAAUCAAGCGCUACAAUCAAGCACUCCCCUAGACCGACGAUUGUUCGGUCAUGCUCUCACAUCUCACCUUACCUUGAGCGUCGAUCCAUUCAAAACUGAAUGGCCUCAAAAAUAACAAUACACAUGUAUGCAAUACCCACCCGAUUGUGGGUUAGUGGUUUUGAACUAAGCCACCUGAUAGUCCUUAACUUAGGGCUUAAUAGAGGAUGUCGCUAGCAUUAUAGUUUUUCAAAGCUAUUUUUCAAAACCAAACAAUGUGUUUAGUUGAAAAUAGGUUUUCUAAAACCAAAACUUUUGUGUGUAUGUGACUGUAUAUACUUAAUCCUGCUCCGAUACCAGCUGUGGCAGAACCUCCCAAGUUAUUGGGCCCACAUGCAGCUGUCCUUGUCUCAAAGACCUCAGACGGCUAUGCAUGUGCACCAGAUAACUUAACAUGAUCUGUACGAGUGCCCCAAGGACAUCGGAUAAACCACUUACAACCAGAACCGCAAGAUUAAGUAAUACAAAUCACACACAUCAACAUUUUUGCAGCGGAAAUCUUAUUACCAAGUUUUACAAGUUACAAAAAUUUUACUUUGUACUUGAUCGGAGUGAUUACAAAGGUGAUUCCAAGAAAUAACUUUAAACUUUUAUAAAUUAUUUAUAAGUUUGAAAUAUAUGCUAGCUCAAGUGACCAUCCUCAAUAAGAAGGUAAAGACAGGGUAUACUUAUAUAAGAAGGCCGAGCCCACCGGCACUUAACACCAUCACAGCAACACAAAACUAUAACCUGAAAAACAACAGGGAAUAAAACCCUGAGUAUGGAAUUACUCAGCAAGACUUACCCGACUAAAGAAAAGACUCUCAAGGGUAUGCUGGAUUUGAGAAUCAAGGAGAGGCUUUAGCAAGAAUCAACUUAGAUACUUUUGCAGAAAUAGCUUACUAAAGUGAGUCCUUACUUUCAAUAUUUUAACGCCAGAUUAAAUAUUAAUAGACUCUGUUUGCAUCUGGUCUAAUUUCACCAUCUCAUCAAUACAACAUCAUUUUUAUUCAUGAGGCUCACAUCCUGACUUAGGUUGUAGGGCAGCGAUCAAGUCUCCACUCUCCGGGGAUAUAACGGCGAUCCGAAUCGAUUUACUCAGCUGAGGAUCUCUAACCACACGACAUAUGUAGCACUUAACCCUUGCAUAUGUCAACCGUUCCCACGGAUCCUCCACUACAUGAACAGGUCCACGCCACCCGAGAGCACACCACCCCUUUUAGGCGAUCCUUUGCCAGGAGGGUACGUGCCACUCUCGCCAUCUCUCCACUCCCAGUGCGCGAUUGUCUUUUCAUGUAUGGAAUAGCCGGGUUCAAGCUUACCCUGUCCCAUAUCCAGAGCAUGUGGCUAGUUAAGAUAGUCCUUGAUCAUACAGGCCUACAUACGCAUCCAAUCCUUAAUUAACCUGGGUAGAACAUCACCUGUUCCAAGCCCAAGUCCCGAUUUAAGUACUUCCAUCCUUAGGAUUGUUUGUGUUCCUUAGGAUGAAAAGUGCACAUUAUAGGGAACUUUGCAGUAUGAUCCCACCAUGCUCCCAAUGAAAAUAUUCUUGCAGGUAGAAGCCAUCCUUCCUAAGGAUAACCCCUGAGCUACGCAUUAAUGCAAAAGACAACCUCUAUCCACAAGAUCUAAGCAGGGCUAAGCAUUUUUGUAAAUCAUAUUUUGAUACUUCACCAGAAGUAUCUAUAAAGGUAUGGAUAUCAAGGAAGGCAAUGCAUCAAAGGGUUUCAAGCAACUCCUAUAAACCUAAUGCACAUUUCACUAGACUUAAAGUGUGCAAAAAUUAUUUAAAAACACAAGGAAGGGGUUGCAUGCACCAGGGCUUGCCUGGGUAACACUAGGUUAGUGUUGUUAGGUGACGUCCAC
This 7994-nucleotide long non-coding RNA is filed under the name Zea mays. RNAcentral's name for it is "long non-coding RNA (ZMAY_LNC003559)". The record is from RNAcentral. Lineage: Eukaryota; Viridiplantae; Streptophyta; Magnoliopsida; Poales; Poaceae.